UAGCAUAUAUUGUCCAAGAAGGGAAUUCUCCAUAUAUAUUAAUUAAUUUGGAGGAAAAUUGAACGGCAGUUGGAGAUUUCAAUACAGUAGCAAAAUGAUUCUGCUUUGGAGUUGAUACAGUAUCCAUAGGGGAUUUUGGACUAAUGGUGGACUCGAUUCAGCUUCAUUGUUUAGUUUCCAGCAUUGGUGUCAUCUGACUAGGGAAUGACAGAUCACUGAGAACACCUGAGCUAUAAGACCUUCAUUUUGUUUUACUGAAUUCAAAGUAAUCUUUUGAGGCCCUUUCUGGUUCUGGCAAUUCAGUCUUGGUGGAGAAAAUUUGCUAGAGAUCUCAAAGCUUGUGGGCUGAACACGUGGAGCUGGAGGCAACUUUUGACAGUUUUCAUUCUCAAGCUAGAUUGGAUUAUGGGUGGUUUUGAUAUCUUCUUUCUCACCAACAAAUGAUGUUCCCACAAAAUUACUGGUGUUAAGGUGAAGGUUGUGAAUCAAUGCAAAAUCCACAUUUAUAGAUGUGCCCUUUUACCUAGAGAUUAAGCUUUUAAUUUUUGAAUUUGGUAAUGUCAAGGGAAUAA
Gossypium arboreum is the source of this 572-nucleotide long non-coding RNA. RefSeq lists it as uncharacterized. NCBI's taxonomy places the organism in Eukaryota, Viridiplantae, Streptophyta, Magnoliopsida, Malvales, Malvaceae. The transcript is spliced from 5 exons. The record is from RefSeq and is a predicted model, not a curated record.